CCCUUAGAUGUUCUGGGCUGCACGCGCGCUACACUGAUGCACUCAACGAGUUUACAACCUUAUCCGGAAGGAUUGGGUAAUCUUUUGAACGUGCAUCGUGAUGGGGAUAGAUUAUUGCAAUUAUUAAUCUUCAACGAGGAAUGCCUAGUAAGCGCAAGUCAUCAGCUUGCGUUGAUUACGUCCCUGCCCUUUGUACACACCGCCCGUCGCUCCUACCGAUUGAAUGGUCCGGUGAAGCGUUCGGACCGUGGCCUUUGGACGGUUCGCCGUCUGUUGGCUGCGGGAAGUUCGUUAAACCUUAUCAUUUAGAGGAAGGAGAAGUCGUAACA
Molecule: ribosomal RNA, 329 nt
Filed under: uncultured eukaryote
Lineage: Eukaryota
Description: partial 18S ribosomal RNA
Rfam family: Eukaryotic small subunit ribosomal RNA
Source: RNAcentral